CUGCGGCUUUGUGGCGAUUUGUUACCGGAUUGCGGGCCACGUUAAACAUGCCGCUAAAAGGUCAGCCGAAAGCCCCU
Non-coding RNA from Marivita cryptomonadis, 77 nucleotides. Lineage: Bacteria; Pseudomonadati; Pseudomonadota; Alphaproteobacteria; Rhodobacterales; Roseobacteraceae. The record is from Rfam.